RNAcentral lists this ribosomal RNA (573 nucleotides) under Streptomyces albidoflavus. RNAcentral's name for it is "partial 23S ribosomal RNA". It matches the Rfam family "Bacterial large subunit ribosomal RNA", at positions 2359 to 2925 of the family's 2925-position model. Lineage: Bacteria; Bacillati; Actinomycetota; Actinomycetes; Kitasatosporales; Streptomycetaceae. The record is from RNAcentral.
ACAAGGGAGCUUGACUGUGAGACCGACGGGUCGAGCAGGGACGAAAGUCGGGACUAGUGAUCCGGCGGUGGCUUGUGGAAGCGCCGUCGCUCAACGGAUAAAAGGUACCCCGGGGAUAACAGGCUGAUCUUCCCCAAGAGUCCAUAUCGACGGGAUGGUUUGGCACCUCGAUGUCGGCUCGUCGCAUCCUGGGGCUGGAGUCGGUCCCAAGGGUUGGGCUGUUCGCCCAUUAAAGCGGUACGCGAGCUGGGUUUAGAACGUCGUGAGACAGUUCGGUCCCUAUCCGCUGUGCGCGUAGGAAUAUUGAGAAGGGCUGUCCCUAGUACGAGAGGACCGGGACGGACGAACCUCUGGUGUGCCAGUUGUUCUGCCAAGGGCAUGGCUGGUUGGCUACGUUCGGGAGGGAUAACCGCUGAAAGCAUCUAAGCGGGAAGCCUGCUUCGAGAUGAGUAUUCCCACCUCCUUGAGAGGGUAAGGCUCCCAGUAGACGACUGGGUUGAUAGGCCGGAUAUGGAAGCCCUGUAAGGGGUGGAGUUGACCGGUACUAAUAGGCCGAGGGCUUGUCCUCAGUUG